CAGAAAAGGAACAAACUAAACUCAAAGCUGUCAGAAGGAAGGAACUAAUGAAGAUUAAAGCAGAGAUAAACAAAACAGAGAAUAGGAAAACAACCACAGAAAUCAAUGAAACUACAGUUAGUUCUUUGAAAAGAUCAACAAAACAAAUAUUUAGCCAUAUGGACUAAGAAAAAACAAAUACUCAAAUUAUGUUAAUCAGAAAUGAAACCGAGGACACCACAAAAUAAAAGGAUUACCAAUAAAUUGGAUAAUUUAAAUGCAAUGGACAAAUUCCUAGAAAUGCAAAACCUACUAUAUUAUGUAUGAAUCCUGAAGAAAUAGAAAUAAGUAGAAAAUCUGGAUAGACCUCAUAAUUGGUAAGAAUCAAAACCUUCCAAAGAAAAGUUCUGGACCUGAUGGGUUCAUUAGUGAAGUAUGCCAAACGUUUAAAGAAGAAAUCACAGAAGAGAUUACAGAAAUACUUCUUAAACUUUUCUAGAAAAUACAAAGAGGAGGGAAUAUUUCAAAACUCAUUCUCUGAGGCCAUCAAUUCCUUGAUAUCAGAGCCUGAGAAAGAUUCAAAAAAGCUGUGGAAUAUUCCUAUGAACAUUAAUGUGAAAAUUCUCCACAUUCUAGUAGGAAACUGAAUUAGCAGUAUAUUAAAAGGAUUAUACACCAUGACCAAGUUGAUUUAUUCCUGGAAGCAGACAUGUUUCAACAUAUGAAAAUAUAUGAACAGAAUGCACCACAUUAACAGAAUGAAGGGAAAAUAAAUACAUGGUGGUCUCAAUUAAUUCAGAAUAGGUUGUCGAUAAAAUUCAAUACCAGUUCGUGAUAAAAACGCUCAACAAACCAGGAAUAGAAGGAAAAUAUGUCAAUAUAAUAAACACUACUUGUGAAAAACUCACAAGAAUAUCAUAUUCACUUUUCCUCUCAGAUCAGGAAUGAGGCAAGGAUGCCCAAUAUUACCUCUUCUGUUUAGCACAGUACUAGAGAUUCUAGCCAGAGCAAUAGGCCAAGAAAAAGAAAUAAAACAUAUUCACAUUAUAAAGGGUGAUGCAAAAUUACUUCUGUUUCAGAGGAUGUGAUUUUAUAUGUAUAAAAUUUGAAAGGUUCUAAAAAGAAACUACUAGAACUAAUAAACGAAUUCAGCAAAGCAGCAGGAUAUAAAGCCAGCAUGCAAAGAUGAGUUGCAUUAGCAUAGGUUAACAAUGAAAAAUCUGAAAAGGAGAUUAUGAAAACAAUUCCACUUUUAGUAGCAUUAAAAAUAAUAAAAUACUUAGUAGUAACAUCACCAAAGAUGUGAAAGACAUACGUUGAAAAUUAUAAAAUAUUCCUAAAAGAAAUUAAAGAGAUACAAAAAAUGGAAGCAUCUCCCAUAUUCAUGGCUUGGAAGGGUUAACAUUGUUAAAAUGUCCAUGCCACCCAUUGUGUGUUGUCAACAGACUCAAUGCAAUCCCUAUUGAUGUCCCAGUGACUAUUUUUUCAGGAACAGAAAAAUUCAUUCUAAAAUUCAUAUCUCAAGAGACUAUGAGUAGUCAAAACAAUCUCAGAAAAGAAGAGUGAAGCAAGAGGACUCAGAUUUUCUGAUUUCAAAGCUUACUACAAAGCUACAGUAAUCAAAAUCGUAUGAUACUGACAUAUUCGAUUAAAUAGAAUAUAGACUGAAGGGACAAAAUAGACAGCUCAGAAC
Molecule: long non-coding RNA, 1672 nt
Filed under: Marmota monax (woodchuck)
Lineage: Eukaryota; Metazoa; Chordata; Mammalia; Rodentia; Sciuridae
Source: RNAcentral